UAAACUGAAGAGUUUGAUCAUGGCUCAGAUUGAACGCUGGCGGCAGGCUUCAGACAUGCAAGUCGAGCGGAAACAGGCCGCUGUGAUCCCUUCGGGGUGAACUUGGUGCUGUCGAGCGGCGGACGGGUGAGUAACGCGUAGGAAUCUGCCCAGUAGAGGGGGAUAGCCCGAGGAAACUCGGAUUAAUACCGCAUACGCCCUACGGGGGAAAGCAGGGGAUCUUCGGACCUUGCGCUAUUGGAUGAGCCUGCGUUGGAUUAGCUUGUUGGUGGGGUAAAGGCCUACCAAGGCGACGAUCCAUAGCUGGUUUGAGAGGAUGAUCAGCCACACUGGAACUGAGACACGGUCCAGACUCCUACGGGAGGCAGCAG
RNAcentral lists this ribosomal RNA (371 nucleotides) under Gammaproteobacteria bacterium. RNAcentral's name for it is "bacterial SSU rRNA". It matches the Rfam family "Bacterial small subunit ribosomal RNA", at positions 1 to 354 of the family's 1533-position model. Lineage: Bacteria; Pseudomonadati; Pseudomonadota; Gammaproteobacteria. The record is from RNAcentral.